This 691-nucleotide ribosomal RNA is filed under the name Corynebacterium xerosis. RNAcentral describes it as "bacterial SSU rRNA". It matches the Rfam family "Bacterial small subunit ribosomal RNA", at positions 24 to 729 of the family's 1533-position model. The record is from RNAcentral. Lineage: Bacteria; Bacillati; Actinomycetota; Actinomycetes; Mycobacteriales; Corynebacteriaceae.
UCAGGACGAACGCUGGCGGCGUGCUUAACACAUGCAAGUCGAACGGUAAGGCCCCAGCUUGCUGGGGUACACGAGUGGCGAACGGGUGAGUAACACGUGGGUGACCUGCCCCGCACUUCGGGAUAAGCCUGGGAAACUGGGUCUAAUACCGGAUAGGACCGCACCGUGAGGGUGUGGUGGAAAGUUUUUCGGUGUGGGAUGGGCCCGCGGCCUAUCAGCUUGUUGGUGGGGUAAUGGCCUACCAAGGCGGCGACGGGUAGCCGGCCUGAGAGGGUGGACGGCCACAUUGGGACUGAGACACGGCCCAGACUCCUACGGGAGGCAGCAGUGGGGAAUAUUGCACAAUGGGCGGAAGCCUGAUGCAGCGACGCCGCGUGGGGGAUGACGGCCUUCGGGUUGUAAACUCCUUUCACCAUCGACGAAGGUUUUCUGACGGUAGAUGGAGAAGAAGCACCGGCUAACUACGUGCCAGCAGCCGCGGUAAUACGUAGGGUGCGAGCGUUGUCCGGAAUUACUGGGCGUAAAGAGCUCGUAGGUGGUUUGUCGCGUCGUCUGUGAAAUUCCGGGGCUUAACUCCGGGCGUGCAGGCGAUACGGGCAUAACUUGAGUACUGUAGGGGAGACUGGAAUUCCUGGUGUAGCGGUGAAAUGCGCAGAUAUCAGGAGGAACACCGGUGGCGAAGGCGGGUCUC